GACGAACGCUGGCGGCGUGCUUAACACAUGCAAGUCGAACGGAAAGGCCCUGCUUGCAGGGUACUCGAGUGGCGAACGGGUGAGUAACACGUGGGUGAUCUGCCCUGCACUUCGGGAUAAGCUUGGGAAACUGGGUCUAAUACCGGAUAGGAACCAUCUUUAGUGUGGUGGUUGGAAAGUUUUUUCGGUGUAGGAUGAGCUCGAGGCCUAUCAGCUUGUUGGUGGGGUAAUGGCCUACCAAGGCGGCGACGGGUAGCCGGCCUGAGAGGGUGUACGGCCACAUUGGGACUGAGAUACGGCCCAGACUCCUACGGGAGGCAGCAGUGGGGAAUAUUGCACAAUGGGCGCAAGCCUGAUGCAGCGACGCCGCGUGGGGGAUGAAGGCCUUCGGGUUGUAAACUCCUUUCGCUAGGGACGAAGCUUUGUUGUGACGGUACCUAGAUAAGAAGCACCGGCUAACUACGUG
Molecule: ribosomal RNA, 466 nt
Filed under: uncultured bacterium
Lineage: Bacteria
Description: partial 16S ribosomal RNA
Rfam family: Bacterial small subunit ribosomal RNA
Source: RNAcentral